Molecule: long non-coding RNA, 216 nt
Organism: Dryobates pubescens (Downy woodpecker)
Lineage: Eukaryota; Metazoa; Chordata; Aves; Piciformes; Picidae
Exons: 3
Source: RefSeq, a predicted model, not a curated record
CCUCAGCCGGCAGCCCUGAGCCCUUGGGCUGCAGGGGCCUGGAGCCCCCAAGCCGGCAGCACAAGCAGGAUGCCCUCUCGGUGCCCAAGCCCUGCAAGCUGGCCUGUGCCACACAGGCACCCUCUGUGUCCAGGCUCCCUGUGGUCUCCAGAGCCUCUGCCCUGAAGCAGAAGGCAGCUGAGAGAGCCCUUUGCCCCCCCGGGGGUGGGCAGUGGA